Long non-coding RNA from Gossypium arboreum, 438 nucleotides. RefSeq lists it as uncharacterized. Lineage: Eukaryota; Viridiplantae; Streptophyta; Magnoliopsida; Malvales; Malvaceae. The record is from RefSeq and is a predicted model, not a curated record. The transcript has 2 exons.
CAUUUUGGCCAUUUCUCCUCCCUUGGCCCGUUUUUGAGAUGAAAACUUCCGAAAAAGCUAAGAAAAAUAAAUAAAAAAUUUCUCCUGUCUGAUUCGCAAUAAAGGUGCAAAAUGGACGGUGGCAGAUGUGACAAUGGCAAUGGCAGCAGGCUGGUUAGAAGACCUAGGUGCGACGCACCUAGGUUUGAAAUUUUUUUGUUUUUCCUGUUAUGGGUUUGGGCUAGGGUUUAGUUUUAUUUGGGCUGAAAUUUUAGGCUUCGAGUUUGGUUGGUUUGGGCUAAUGUAAAUGGACUGUUUGAUUAUUGGACUUUGGUUUAUUUAUUUAUUUAUUUGGUUUUGUUUCUGGUUUGGGCCCCGGGCUAAAAUUGGGCCUUACAGACCUCUUUUGUAACUUAAAAUUUUCCUUUCAAUUUAGUUUUCAUUUUUGAUUUCUUUUUA